This is a non-coding RNA of Ictidomys tridecemlineatus (thirteen-lined ground squirrel), 1683 nucleotides long. NCBI's taxonomy places the organism in Eukaryota, Metazoa, Chordata, Mammalia, Rodentia, Sciuridae. The record is from RefSeq and is a predicted model, not a curated record.
CCUUAGCUUUCGGAGGCUCCUCCUGGGUCAUUUCCUGGUUGGAGAACUUCCUUUGGCCAUUCUUCUGGGUUGUGCUGCUGGUGACAGGUUCUUGUUUUCCUUCAUCGCAGAAUGUCUUCAUUUCCCCUUAAUUCCUAGGGGAGAUUUUCACUCCAUUUACAGGGCUCUGUCAACACUGGGGACAUUCUGCUCCGCUUCCGCCCAGCCUGCCCUGGUUUAUCGUGAGACCCCACCGCCAUUCAAGUCGUUUCCUCUUCCAGGGGAAGAACAGGGCUCUGACCUGGAUGGCAGAAGCACGAGAGGGAGCAGAUGAGGGUCCAACUGUCACCGCUAAAUGCUCAGGACGCUGCUCGCCGAUGACGUUUCUGCAGGUGAUUCUGGGGCAGGCACAGCUCCUAGAGCACUGGAUCAGCUGGUGGAAAUGUCCCAGAACAAAGGAACGGGAUACUUGCCCAACAAAACCCUGACUUCAAGGCAGGUGCCGUCGUGACACAGAAGGGGAGACAAAGCCCAGAGAGUUCAGGAUCUGCUCCGUGUGGUUCCUUGGGCCACUCACUCGGCGUCAAGGUGAUCAUCAGAAGACAAAUGCGGCUCUGGUUCUGAUGUGUGAAUUUGGGGCAGAGACACACAAGAAACAAGAAGAUAUCAGAUGGGCACUUGCUUCCAAACGAGGACCCGGAGGCUGAGGAACGACAGGAGUAUUUCCUGGGUCCCUCUUGGGCUACCUGAGGCCAGGGGCGUGCUCCUCCUUCUAGGGCGUGAUCUUCUCUUCUAGCGGGGACACAGCUCGUCCCUUGAGACCGAGGGCAGCCUUCCCUUCAGGUCCCGGGGAAAGGAGGCCACAGUAACCUGUGCUCCGACGUGCCGAGGACUCGCGGUUUGGUUUUGUGUUGGGAGGCCGCAGGUCUACGGACCACCUGUGACAAGAGCUCAAGUGGCAGGAUGGAGGUUGGAGUGACAUGUGACGCCCACACAGGGAGGAGCAGCCUGGGGACUGGAAGUGCACCCUGCACGGUGGACAGUCUACCCUUGGGUCAUCUAGAGAUUCUUCAGUCACCUCAGGCUCCAAGUGCACUCCGCGAGGGCUCCUGUGCCCGGCACUGGGCACACCACCCCCUCUCUCCCUCCUCCUGGCCGGGCACUGAGGAUGGACCAGGUGGGCUCCUGGGCUGUGGUCAUGUGCAUUGACCCCGUCGUUCACCGUCCCUGCGCAGUCCUGGGGAGCCUGGAUGACCUCUGACCUAGCCCUUCAUUCUGGAGAAAGGUGAGACGUCCCUCACCCUGCAGACAUCAGAGACAGGAGAUGCCUGUCUUGCGGCCUCUGGGACCUCCGCAGAGACUGGCCUGGGUGGUUCCCUCCAGUCUCCUGCUUUCAGUCUGAGCCAUUUUCUGCAUCGGCCCUGAGUAAAGCCACGGCUUGAGCAUGGUUUUCACAACCAGGUUCUGGAACCCCAGGAUCCCAAGAGGGACGUCAACUACUGCCCUGAGGCAGAGUUCUCUGGGAUGGGGGGGGGCAGGAUUCCCUUUCCUGCUAAUGCCAGAGCCCCUCAGCUACCGUCAGCUUCGUGUGCUUUGAGCUUGGUUUAAUAUUUUGUUGGAAAAGGGUUCUGCCAUAAAAGAAAACUAGAACAGUGAUAAAGGUCAGAGCACCGAACUCGGGCCCUUGUGGUGUGCUGUUCCUUU